GCCCGAUUGUUGUAGUCUGGAUAUCAUGAAGGCUUGCGGAGCCUUCAACCGGGGUUCGAAUCCCCGAUCGGGCA
RNAcentral lists this transfer RNA (74 nucleotides) under Thermoplasmatota archaeon. RNAcentral's name for it is "tRNA-Arg". It matches the Rfam family "tRNA". Rfam says of the family: Transfer RNA (tRNA) molecules are approximately 80 nucleotides in length. Lineage: Archaea; Methanobacteriati; Thermoplasmatota. The record is from RNAcentral.